RNAcentral lists this ribosomal RNA (190 nucleotides) under uncultured bacterium. Its description in RNAcentral is "partial 16S ribosomal RNA". It matches the Rfam family "Bacterial small subunit ribosomal RNA", at positions 340 to 540 of the family's 1533-position model. The record is from RNAcentral.
UACGGGAGGCAGCAGUGGGGAAUCUUGCACAAUGGAGGAAACUCUGAUGCAGCGAUGCCGCGUGAGUGAAGAAGGCCUUUGGGUUGUAAAGCUCUUUCGUCGGGGAAGAAAAUGACUGUACCCGAAUAAGAAGGUCCGGCUAACUUCGUGCCAGCAGCCGCGGUAAUGCAGCCAGCAGCCGCGGUAAUAC